UGCAUCUUAUCUUUAAUUGUAUUAAACAAUAAAAACACAACUUUCUGUUCUGAAGUCUCUUAGGUCUGUCAGUCUCAUCAUGUAGUUUGAUAUUUAUGUGGAAAAACUAAGGUGGUGUUUAGUUGCCAAAUUUUUUUUCAAAAAUAUCACAUCGUUGACCGGACGUCAGAAGGGGUUUUCGGAUACGAAUGAAAAAACGAAUUUCACGGCUA
RNAcentral lists this long non-coding RNA (212 nucleotides) under Oryza brachyantha (malo sina). Its description in RNAcentral is "long non-coding RNA (OBRA_LNC002448)". Lineage: Eukaryota; Viridiplantae; Streptophyta; Magnoliopsida; Poales; Poaceae. The record is from RNAcentral.